AGAAAUAGUAAUCCAACAUAUUAACACUGAACAGCAUCUUAGAGCGCAAGUGCUUAGGUAACACUGAAAUUCAACCGUGGUGUUCUGUCAGGAGAUGCAGUUACUUAAUCUAACGGGAGGAUUAGCGGCCAUUUUCGGUGCAAUUAAAUGUUAGCCUUUAUGCCUGCUGGCUAUCGCUCCCAGGUGCUGGUCCUGGGAGGUCUGAGUGCGGACAGCUAAUAGCCACCCUUUAGCCUGAGUCUGGCCAGCUGUUCCCUCUAUAGAUUGCACAGAUGCCAGUACCUGCAAUCAUAACAUUUGAAAGACAGGAAAAGUGUGUGACACACCGCUCAGAAACUCUCUUCUGUUCUCUUGGAAAAAAGACACUCAAAAAUGUAAUGAUUGUUGGUAUUUUAAAAAAAAACUUUCCGAUGGAAUAUAGCUAC
Long non-coding RNA from Micropterus dolomieu (smallmouth bass), 425 nucleotides. RefSeq lists it as uncharacterized. The record is from RefSeq and is a predicted model, not a curated record. The transcript has 2 exons. NCBI's taxonomy places the organism in Eukaryota, Metazoa, Chordata, Actinopteri, Centrarchiformes, Centrarchidae.